UACGUAGGUGGCGAGCGUUGUCCGGAUUUACUGGGCGUAAAGCGCGCGCAGGCGGCAGUCUAAGUCCUCUGUGAAAUCACCCGGCUCAACUGGGUGGCUGCGGAGGAGACUGGGCAGCUUGAGGGGCCUAGAGGCCGGUGGAACUCCCGGUGUAGUGGUGAAAUGCGUAGAGAUCGGGAGGAACACCAGUGGCGAAGGCGGCCCUCUGGGCCGGGCCGACGCUGAGACGCGAGGGCGUGGGGAGCAAACAGGG
Molecule: ribosomal RNA, 253 nt
Filed under: uncultured bacterium
Lineage: Bacteria
Description: partial 16S ribosomal RNA
Rfam family: Bacterial small subunit ribosomal RNA
Source: RNAcentral